Molecule: long non-coding RNA, 1372 nt
Filed under: Olea europaea subsp. europaea
Lineage: Eukaryota; Viridiplantae; Streptophyta; Magnoliopsida; Lamiales; Oleaceae
Source: RNAcentral
GUUUUGAAGUUGAGAAAUACAAGUUUCCUUUUGUUCACUUCCUUCUCCCUAUUAGUGUUGUCCUCCUUAAAAGCCUUAGCCAAUCAAAAUUAGUAAACCCUUCUUUCAUCCAACAAUAGUAGACUAGUAUCCUUGUAUGUUUUUUAGAUUGCAUGUUUGAUUACUAGAUGCAUUACCAUUUGGUACAGUCUUGUCGGGGACUAGAAAAGUUAUUUGAAUUAACACUUUCGACUUUUUCCUGUCCCAGGUGAUAAUUCUAUGCGAUAAAAUAAAACUUCCUUUUACCCCUCUCCUUUCACCCAGGGAGGAAUGUGGUUAUGACUUAUGGUGUUCUUUCUUGAUGAUAUUUAAAAAAAUUUAGAACUUGGCAAAGAACUGGGCUGAAUCAGCUUGGAAAACAAAGUUAGAUUGCCUUUUCAUUCCUGCAAUCAAUAAAAUGGUUCUAAAAUUUUGAAGUUGGCACUCAACUGGACUUGUUAUUCUACCUUGUAAGUUUUCAUCUCAGUUCUUUAUCCUUUCGAGUAUCCUAACUCAUUGCCUGGAGAUAAAAUUUAAGCAAUAAUGUUAUUGAAAGACAAACCCUCGAUUCAUUGCCUUGAUCAUUCUAGCAGUUAAUGGUAAAAUCUAGUUGAUGAUGGACUUAGGUAGCAUCAUUGGGUUGGGAUCAUUAUGGAGUAGAUACUAUUGUCAAGAGAAAACGUGCAGGUUCAGUACCAAACUCGGAAAUAUUUUGCUCAUAAACAUUGUUAAAUCACUAGUGAUAAUCUUUUGUUAUGAAAACUGCCUAUAUGCAUGUUGUUGCCAAUGCAGCUUGGGAAGGGAUUUCUGGUAGGAAUUAGAAUUCUUUUCAGUGAUUUAAAUAUUGAUAUGUUACGAGGAAUCCAUGAGCAUGAUCAUCAUUUUUAAUGCCUUUCGGUAUCAUCUUUUGAUGAAUUAAAUUAUAUAAACUUUCCUUGUAAUAGAUUGAGGAAAAGAUUACCUGAUCUGAAGGAAGAGAUGGAGAAGCAGCUUGUGGACUUAUUAUCAGAAGAGCUCAAACAGCAAGAAACUGUCAGCGAAGAGCACUCCCAACGUAUGAACGUCAAGUUUGGAGAGGCUAAAAGGCUGAGAAAUGCAAUACUGCCACAGAAAUGUGUGAGUCAGCCAGGGAACGAGCUGUGGCACACCUCGGUUGGGAAGGGAAUAGUUACUGCUAACAACAUUAUUUCUGAUUCUCUCUCUUUCUCUCUGGGGUUUAUGUUAAAAUUUAAAUGUAAUUAUGCAAAUGAAAAGUCAGGUCCUGGUUAAGUGAAGGGGCAUUGGCUUGUGCUUUUGGGCUUGGCAAUGGAUAAGGUUUGAAUAAUUUACAGAUUUAUUUUAAAAUAAAAUUGUG